CCCGGUCAAUUUUUUCCUUCAUCCACUAGUCAGUCAUGUAAGUGAAGAUGAGGCCAGAAUUUGCAACGACUGUCUUCUUUUUCUUCUCGCGCUUCCUGAUUGACCCGGACACCGUCGCCUAGCCAGGUUAUCGUUAUUAUCGGGGUUGGCCAAUCCGGGGAAAAGACACUGAGGAAUAAAAUUUAAAGAAGGAACAUUUCCACACAGUGCGGACCCUGGCAGCUUUCGUAGGCAUCUUAGGUGUUGCUGAAUCUGUUAUUUGAGUUUCUGCGUUUGUAGCUUCGUUGCCCUGCAGGGACUUGUGUCGGUGUUUGAAAAUUCUUCUGAGCUCUGGACUUGGCAGCGUAGCGAAAGCGCGGAACUCAUUUCAAAGACAGCGACGACGAGAAUCCUCACGGCGUAUUUAAGGGGCCAACGUUAUCGUACGUGCGCUGCAGCACGGAAGUGUGGCAGCAAACCAGUGAAACAGAUAAAGAAGGCCCAGAUCUUGUGCUCCGACCCCAGCAAUCACUGAUAUAACAUGAACGUGUGGUUCAACGGCAUGAAGCGGAAUACGGAGGAGGAAAUGGCGAAAGGGUGAGGAGAGAAGCGGAGUGCCGGCAAGAGCAGGCAUGCGGCCAGCGGGGAAACACAGAGUUGGCGUUGGCUCCACUGCGCAAGAACUACUUUGCCUG
Dermacentor albipictus is the source of this 674-nucleotide long non-coding RNA. RefSeq lists it as uncharacterized. Lineage: Eukaryota; Metazoa; Arthropoda; Arachnida; Ixodida; Ixodidae. The record is from RefSeq and is a predicted model, not a curated record.